ACAGGGAGGGGCAGGGCAGUGACACAGGCACUGGGCAGCAGGCUAGGGGCAGUGUGGGGUACGGAUAGGACAAUGACAUAGGCACUGAGGUGGGGGUGUGGUGUGGCACGGCGAGGGGCAGGGCAGUGACACAGGCACGGGGCAGCAGGCUGGGGGUUGUGUGGGGUACGGGUAGGACAAUGACAUAGGCACUGAGGUGGGGGUGUGGUGUGGCACGGGGAGGGGCAGGGCAGUGACACAGGCACGGGGUAGCAGGCUGGGGGUUGUGUGGGGUACGGGUAGGACAAUGACAUAGGCACUGAGGUGGGGGUGUGGUGUGGCACGGGGAGGGGCAGGGCAGUGACACAGGCACGGGGUAGCAGGCUGGGGUUGUGUGGGGUACGGGUAGGACAAUGACAUAGGCACUGAGGUGGGGGUGUGGUGUGGCACGGGGAGGGGCAGGGCAGUGACACAGGCACGGGGUAGCAGGCUGGGGGUUGUGUGGGGUACGGGUAGGACAAUGACAUAGGCACUGAGGUGGGGGUGUGGUGUGGCACGGGGAGGGGCAGGGCAGUGACACAGGCACGGGGUAGCAGGCUGGGGG
Gopherus flavomarginatus (Mexican gopher tortoise) is the source of this 583-nucleotide long non-coding RNA. RefSeq lists it as uncharacterized. NCBI's taxonomy places the organism in Eukaryota, Metazoa, Chordata, Testudines, Testudinidae. The transcript is spliced from 3 exons. The record is from RefSeq and is a predicted model, not a curated record.